CCUACGGGUGGCAGCAGUGGGGAAUAUUGCACAAUGGGGGAAACCCUGAUGCAGCGACGCCGCGUGAGUGAAGAAGCGUUUCGGCGCGUAAAGCUCUGUCAGCGGGGAAGAAACACGGUUCGCGAGAGCCGCGGACGGUACCCGACCAAGAAGCCCCGGCGAACUACGUGCCAGCAGCAGCGGUAAUACGUCGGGGGCAAGCGGUAUCCGGAUUCACUGGGUGUAAAGGGAACGUAGUGGGCGAGACACGUAUGGGGGGAAAGGCAGGGGCCCAACCCCGGGACUGCUCUGGAAACGGCCGGGCUGGAGUACGGGAGAGGUAAGUGGAAUGCCUGGUGUAGCGGUGAAAUGCGUAGAUAUUAGGAGGAACACCAGUGGCGAAGGCGGCUUACUGGACUGUAACUGACGUUGAGGCUCGAAAGCGUGGGGAGCAAACAGGAUUAGAUACCCCAUAGUC
RNAcentral lists this ribosomal RNA (457 nucleotides) under uncultured bacterium. Its description in RNAcentral is "partial 16S ribosomal RNA". It matches the Rfam family "Bacterial small subunit ribosomal RNA", at positions 338 to 795 of the family's 1533-position model. The record is from RNAcentral.